Molecule: ribosomal RNA, 366 nt
Filed under: uncultured Thermus sp.
Lineage: Bacteria; Thermotogati; Deinococcota; Deinococci; Thermales; Thermaceae
Description: bacterial SSU rRNA
Rfam family: Bacterial small subunit ribosomal RNA
Source: RNAcentral
CACGGGGAGCCCUAGCACAGGUGCUGCAUGGCCGUCGUCAGCUCGUGCCGUGAGGUGUUGGGUUAAGUCCCGCAACGAGCGCAACCCCCGCCGUUAGUUGCCAGCGGUUCGGCCGGGGCACUCUAACGGGACUGCCCGCGAAAGCGGGAGGAAGGAGGGGACGACGUCUGGUCAGCAUGGCCCUUACGGCCUGGGCGACACACGUGCUACAAUGCCCACUACAAAGCGAUGCCACCCGGCAACGGGGAGCUAAUCGCAAAAAGGUGGGCCCAGUUCGGAUUGGGGUCUGCAACCCGACCCCAUGAAGCCGGAAUCGCUAGUAAUCGCGGAUCAGCCAUGCCGCGGUCGAAUACGUUCCCGGGCCUU